UACGUAUGGGGCAAGCGUUAUCCGGAAUUAUUGGGCGUAAGGAGUGCGUAGGUGGUUACCUAAGCGCAAGGUUUAAUCUUGAGGCUCAACCUCAUUCUGCCUUGCGAACUGGGCUACUUGAGUGCAGGAGGGGAAAGCGGAAUUCCCAGUGUAGCGGUGAAAUGCGUAGACAUUGGGAAGAACACCGAUGGCGAGGGCGGCUUUCUGGACUGUAACUGACACUGAGGCACGAAAGCGUGGGGAGCAAACA
This 250-nucleotide ribosomal RNA is filed under the name uncultured prokaryote. RNAcentral describes it as "partial 16S ribosomal RNA". It matches the Rfam family "Bacterial small subunit ribosomal RNA", at positions 524 to 774 of the family's 1533-position model. The record is from RNAcentral.